Molecule: ribosomal RNA, 253 nt
Filed under: uncultured bacterium
Lineage: Bacteria
Description: partial 16S ribosomal RNA
Rfam family: Bacterial small subunit ribosomal RNA
Source: RNAcentral
GACGAACCGAGCGAACGUUAUUCGGAAUCACUGGGCUUAAAGGGUGCGUAGGCGGGCACGCGAGUCAGGGGUGAAAUCCCACGGCCCAACCGUGGAAGUGCCUCUGAUACCGCGAGCCUCGAGGGGGAUAGGGGCGUGCGGAACUUCCGGUGGAGCGGUGAAAUUCGUAGAUAUUCGGAAGAACACCAGUGGCGAAGGCGGCUCACUGGACUGGUAUUGACGCUGAGGUGCGAAAGCGUGGGGAGCAAACAGG